GUAAGCUAUGCUCUUGGAAUCAUUACUCUAUUCCCCAAUUUAAAGGAUAAGUGCUCACCGACUGGUUAUGAACAGUACUACGAUCCACGCAGUGGCCAGGGUUACAUUGCCUACAGAUUGAAAACUGUUCAGCACAACUCUGUAAAUAACUUGAAGGGGGCAUCAAAGGUGGUUUACCAAGAUGGUCCUAAGACUUUGCGUGAGACAUCUUCAACAACUGAGCAACUGUCAGGUGACGAAUGCACAGAAGCUAUAUCCAUGAUGAAGCAUUCAGCGGACGCACCAAUUAUUAAGGAUAAAAUGAAGACAACAUUCAAGUACAGGCAGAAUUUGCUACAUGAUCCAGACAAAUCUUCACUCAUCCUUGAUUACUUUCCCCGAUUUUUGGAUACACCAGGCUUGGUAAGACAUUACAAUUUUGAUGUUAAUUGUAUAUCUAUAUGUAAUUGUAAUGUUUGUUAUUGACAUGAUUUCUCUGUGAUAGAUUGACCAAGACUUUACUAUGCUUUUUGGAGAUGACAUCUCAAGCAAGUUUAUUGCAAAAUGGCCAACAUUCUACAAGCCAAGAAUAAUUGCUGACUGCAAAAACCUGCACCCUGGUGCACAUGUGGAUGACCUUCUGUCUGCUCUGGAGGAGACUGAUUAUGCGCCAUCUAGAGACAUACUACAGACUACAGCGCUUGAAAGACAUGCUGUUAUAUCAGCAUGCCACGUUACUGAGGGGAAAAGUUCAAAGACAAGAGAUGAAGCUCCAUGAUUCCAGAGAAGGACAUAGAGAUCAGAAGCUUGUCAGCCUUCAGAGGGCCACCAGACCAACCCUCACACACGAUGAUGCAUACCUGAGGUGUCUGCCUAAAACAUGCUACUAUCUGGUUCUGGAACUGCAGAAACAGCUAAAACGACUCGGGUGUCUUCAGAGCAGCAGGGAACAGGAGGUCUUCAGGGUUUGGACAGAACAACACAGAAGCACAUGUCAACUUGAGAAGCAACUACAAGCAGUGGAUGCCAGUCUCAGUAAGAGUGGGUGGAGGAGGGGUGAACGCUUUCCAACAGCAGGGCAAACAGAGUUGGGGACAAGACGAAACUGAGCUCAUGUUUCCUGAGGGAAGUGCCAAAUCACAGCGUCUCUGAUCCCAGUAAGCAGCAGUGAGACAAACACACCUGCAGCAGUCACACACAAACAUACAUAACC
Molecule: long non-coding RNA, 1192 nt
Filed under: Sinocyclocheilus grahami
Lineage: Eukaryota; Metazoa; Chordata; Actinopteri; Cypriniformes; Cyprinidae
Description: lncRNA (ENSSGRG00000026354.1)
Source: RNAcentral